GAGUUUGAUCCUGGCUCAGGACGAACGCUGGCGGCGUGCUUAACACAUGCAAGUCGAACGGAGCGAAAUGGAAGCUUGCUUCUAUGGAGCUUAGUGGCGAACGGGUGAGUAACGCGUAAUCAACCUGCCCUUCAGAGGGGGACAACAGUUGGAAACGACUGCUAAUACCGCAUACGAUUCAACUUCGGCAUCGAGGAUGAAUGAAAGGUGGCCUCUAUUUAUAAGCUAUCGCUGAAGGAGGGGAUUGCGUCUGAUUAGCUAGUUGGAGGGGUAACGGCCCACCAAGGCGAUGAUCAGUAGCCGGUCUGAGAGGAUGAACGGCCACAUUGGGACUGAGACACGGCCCAGACUCCUACGGGAGGCAGCAGAGGGGAAUCUUCCGCAAUGGACGAAAGUCUGACGGAGCAACGCCGCGUGAGUGAUGACGGCCUUCGGGUUGUAAAGCUCUGUUAAUCGGGACGAAAGGUCCUCUUGUGAAUAAUUAGAGGAAUUGACGGUACCGGAAUAGAAAGCCACGGCUAACUACGUGCCAGCAGCCGCGGUAAUACGUAGGUGGCAAGCGUUGUCCGGAAUUAUUGGGCGUAAAGCGCGCGCAGGCGGAUUAGUCAGUCUGUCUUAAAAGUUCGGGGCUUAACCCCGUGAUGGGAUGGAAACUGCUAAUCUAGAGUAUCGGAGAGGAAAGUGGAAUUCCUAGUGUAGCGGUGAAAUGCGUAGA
Molecule: ribosomal RNA, 715 nt
Filed under: uncultured bacterium
Lineage: Bacteria
Description: bacterial SSU rRNA
Rfam family: Bacterial small subunit ribosomal RNA
Source: RNAcentral